UCUCUCUCCGCCUCUGUAAAAUCUAAAAGAGAAGAAAGCUUCUCAAAAACCCUAGUUGCUUCUUUACUAUUGGUGAUUCCACCCAUCCCCUAGCUAGGAACUAUAACAGCGGAACAACCAAGACUGCCCGAUCCUUGGCCGCAUCAGUCGAAUCGAGAGGGGGUACAGGUAUGCCAGUGCUUUUCUUUGGCUAUCCCAGCUAUCGAGCUGGACUAAUUGACACUGCUUCACUCUUUGGUCUUUCUUUCUCUCCGAAGGCUUCAACGAGAAAAGAGGGGUUGAUCUUGGCCCGGAGAAAGUCAGGCCAGCAACGCCCAAAUAAAAUGCCCUCUCUCUCCCCGUCUAUGUAACCCAGCCGUAGCGGUAUCCCCACUUCUCAAGUUUAGAUUUCUACUAUUCUUCUAACUCUCAACUUAUUUCCUUCAUGGCCUCCUUUUAGGUUGGAUUCCACCAAAGGAUGAUAUAUCAAGGACUGGGCUAAAUGGGAGAAUCAAUUACGAGAGGUUCUAUUUGGCAAUGCUUAAUAUCUUAAUUCUAUACAGGUACAAGACUCAGGAUUUGAAGAUUCCAUUGCUCCUUGGAUGGCUUACAGUUUUUAAGUUUCUAUUUUAUGCAAGUGUUAGCAUAAAAUGCCUCUUUGUAGCCCUAUUUGUUUAAACUUGUAUUCGUUGAUUCGUAUAUGUAAAGUGUGCGUAAGUGUACUCUUUUUAAUGUAUUUAACAUGUAUGAGAUGAGACCAGAGGCCAAUGACAUGUAUCUCGUUUUCUAUGCACUUUUGUUUUCAAAGUUUAUUAUGAAAAUAUUAGAAAAUGUUAAGUCAUUGCUUCAUAACUUUCGCAUCGAGUGUUGGAAUUUCAUAUC
Molecule: long non-coding RNA, 861 nt
Organism: Cornus florida
Lineage: Eukaryota; Viridiplantae; Streptophyta; Magnoliopsida; Cornales; Cornaceae
Exons: 3
Source: RefSeq, a predicted model, not a curated record